GUGAGGAAUUUUCCGCAAUGGGCGAAAGCCUGACGGAGCAAUGCCGCGUGAAGGAUGAAGGCCUAUGGGUUGUAAACUUCUUUUCUCAGAAAAGAAUUAUGACGGUAUCUGAGGAAUAAGCAUCGGCUAACUCUGUGCCAGCAGCCGCGGUAAGAAAGAGGAUGCAAGCGUUAUCCGGAAUGAUUGGGCGUAAAGCGUCAGUAGGUUGUUUAAAAAGUAUUCUGUCAAAGAUUAGGGCUUAACCCUAGAUAGGCAGAAUAAACUUUUAAGCUAGAGUUUGGUAGAGGCAGAGGGAAUUCCCGGUGGAGCGGUGAAAUGCGUAGAUAUCGGGAGGAACACCAAAGGCGAAGGCACUCUGCUGGGCCAAUACUAACACUGAGAGACGAAAGCGAGGGGAGCAAAUGGGAUUAGAAAUCCGUGUAGUCC
This 426-nucleotide ribosomal RNA is filed under the name uncultured bacterium. Its description in RNAcentral is "bacterial SSU rRNA". It matches the Rfam family "Bacterial small subunit ribosomal RNA", at positions 354 to 796 of the family's 1533-position model. The record is from RNAcentral.